RNAcentral lists this long non-coding RNA (240 nucleotides) under Mytilus galloprovincialis (Mediterranean mussel). Lineage: Eukaryota; Metazoa; Mollusca; Bivalvia; Mytilida; Mytilidae. The record is from RNAcentral.
AAAUUGAAAAAAACAGUAGGCCUAGGAUCAUAUAUAAAUACAUAAAAUUGUUCAAAUAGUGGGUUUACUGUAUCUAAUUUGAACCCCUUUUUUUUAUCAUUUUGGGGUAUUUUGAUGUGCUUUGUGAGUCUAUAGACUUUGUUUUUGGUAAAUAGAAAGAUUAUUAUCUCAUCGUUUGAUUCAAAUUUUGUAGAGUCGUUCAAAGUUCAUCUUUUAAGCUUCAGUUGAUUUUACUGGACA